GGCCCAGAGGUUGGGCUGGAGCCUGGGGAGCCGCCCGCAGUCCCGCACGGACACCCCUGGAGGGGCCCGGGGCUGCCGCCCCUUCCCCGGGCAGCGGCGUGGCCGCGCCGCCGGGGAGGUGGAUGGCGCAGCGGUAAAGGACAAGUGGAAGGAGACAGCGAUAGCGGCAGCGGGAAGCGUUCGGGAAGGUCGAUAACUGGGGGAAGUAGCACGGUGAAGUGAGGCAUCAAGGAAACAACUCGGGCAGGAACGUGUGAAGUGAAGGACCAAGGAAGAGCUGCUACAUCAGUCAUUUGUAGAUCUCACUAGCGUUACGUAAGCCUGCAAAUGACAGUGUAGUAGGCUUCUCUGAAAUAUCUAACCGAAACAGUGUAUAUUUUUAGUAAGUACAGAAGCUGCCAAAGUGAACAUUUAAAAAUAUUAAUUGCAAAGUAGUUCUGUGUAAGUACUAUUAUUAGAGCAAGACUAUACAUAAUGCAUCAGAAAAUCUGCCAGAGCUGUUUUCAGUAGGAUAUGCAAUUAACACAAAUUAUAGGGGGGAAAGGUGUAUUUUAUAAGCAAUGAUGUUCAUAUGGUGGUAGGUAUAUUUUGACCUUGGUAGCCUUAAAACAACACUUUACAGUGUGUCAGUAAGUACACCAGACUCGUACUAAAAAACUUGGGCAGUCUGUAACUGGGCGGAUAGCCUGCAACAUUAAAAUAUUUAGGUAGGUGUCCAUUCCCAAAGAAGAGAGAGUUAAUCUCUUUGAGAUCUGUCAUGAGAUACAGUUAUUAAAUAAUUCUGUACAUACCUGAAGUUGACACAUAGUUCACUUACUGUACCAACAGGCACUAUGGUUUAUGAGAAUGUGGUUUUAUGAGAAUUAGCAGCAACUUAAACAGAGCCAGCUUCUAACUCAGAAGCAGCUCCGGAACUGCAGUUACAGGUAUUCAGUAUUUGCAUUUCUAGUUCUAUUCUAUUCUAGCCAAUUCAGUAUUCUAGCCAAUACUAAUUCAGUAUUAGCGGUAUUCUCUGGAAAGCUCUGUUAAAUUACAUUCUGUGAUUAUUGAAGGUGUAGUAUGUGUUAUCAUUUUCUUUUAAAGUAAAUUAGCAUCUAGAAAGAAUCCUUGGUCAAAUCAGUUCUUCAGGUUUAGAACUGGUCAGCAGAAUACAGUUGUAAAGGAAUUCAUGUGGGAAUUAUUAGAAAAACAUUGUUCAUUAGAAGUUUUCUGUGUUUUCUAGUAUUUCACAGGAGAAACUAUCCUAUUCCCAACAUUUUACAGUGAUUUUUAUUAAAAUACAAAUGAUUUGAACUGUGGAAAUAUUAGUAAUACAGUAAAGGUAACAUAAAUCCUCAAAUACACACAUUGAAGAUCUGGUUACACUAAAUUAAGAAUUGUGGUUUGGUUUUGAGGGGAGACAGGUUUUUAUACGGGAAAACCUUGACCACUUUUGAAAUAUAUUAAGAAUUCACCUAAUUGCUAAGAUCUAUAGCAUAAAAUAUUUCAAAACUGUCAGUCAUUUCUGUGCACUUGCCUUUAAUCUAUGGACACUCGUCACCCCAGGACAAAUAAUUGCGUUCCUAUUGUAGAGCAUUAUCAGUGCUAUACAACUGCUAUGCAUCUCCCUCACUGUUUCAACUCCUUUCACGUACAAUAAAUAGAACAUCUUCUAA
This is a long non-coding RNA of Cygnus olor (mute swan), 1655 nucleotides long. RefSeq lists it as uncharacterized. Lineage: Eukaryota; Metazoa; Chordata; Aves; Anseriformes; Anatidae. The record is from RefSeq and is a predicted model, not a curated record. The transcript has 2 exons.